RNAcentral lists this ribosomal RNA (253 nucleotides) under uncultured bacterium. RNAcentral's name for it is "partial 16S ribosomal RNA". It matches the Rfam family "Bacterial small subunit ribosomal RNA", at positions 524 to 776 of the family's 1533-position model. The record is from RNAcentral.
UACGGGGGGAGCAAGCGUUGUUCGGAUUUACUGGGCGUAAAGGGCGCGUAGGCGGUAGCACAAGUCAGUUGUGGAAUCUCCGGGCUUAACCCGGAGCGGCCAAGUGAUACUGCCGGGCUAGAGGAUGGUAGAGGCGAGUGGAAUUCCCGGUGUAGCGGUGAAAUGCGCAGAUAUCGGGAGGAACACCAGUAGCGAAGGCGGCUCGCUGGGCCAUACCUGACGCUGAGACGCGAAAGCGUGGGGAGCAAACAGG